AUGAUAUGGCCACUUCUGAACCAAGGAUAUUUAAUCGUGCCUGAAGUGGGGCUCAAAGAAGACAAACCCUGCAACCUCAAGCCAGUGGGCAACCUGGCUGCUGCCUCCCGUGAGCCCUUUCUGCCUCUGUCUUCCCGCCAAGCGCAGAGUCCCUGGCUCACAGUUGUUACCUUCACUCUGCUUAGAUGCAGCCUCCAUGUAAGUCCCCUUUGUCCCUCCCCGCCAGUCACUGCCCCCAGCCCCCACUGCCCCUUCCCUGUGUAGAAUUGCUCCAGAGGACGGGCAGGCCCAUGUCGACUCUUGGCAUGUAUUGGGGGAUGAGUGGUGGUGGAGUGGCCACCGUCAGAGAUCUCGGCGCCUUCUGAUGUGCUGCUU
This 375-nucleotide long non-coding RNA is filed under the name Bos grunniens (domestic yak). RNAcentral describes it as "lncRNA (ENSBGRG00000002293.1)". The record is from RNAcentral. Lineage: Eukaryota; Metazoa; Chordata; Mammalia; Artiodactyla; Bovidae.